This 413-nucleotide long non-coding RNA is filed under the name Olea europaea (common olive). RNAcentral's name for it is "long non-coding RNA (OEUR_LNC012488)". Lineage: Eukaryota; Viridiplantae; Streptophyta; Magnoliopsida; Lamiales; Oleaceae. The record is from RNAcentral.
ACUAGAAGUACAAAAAACCAGUCUGAUUUUGCAUUGACGAAAAAAUUAAUAAGAAAAUAGUUCCAAUAAGAAAUAUUUAUUUAUCCAAUGUACAUGUUAAGGUGUAGCUAUAAAGUCUCGAGAGAGACAAGAAGUGGAACAAGUAGUGAAUUGAGAAAAUCUAAGCAAACGAAAUCUGAGGAAUAUUCUUGGUAUAAAUUCUGAGAGGAUCUGUGUAGGAAAUUAGCGAGAGAGAGAAGGCCAGCAGGGGAUAAAACUCGUGCCUUUAAUCAUUCACUAGUCGUAUGUGGUGGAAAAACACAUCAAUCCGUAGAUGCUUCAAUUUUGACUCGUAUUCGUAUAAAGCUAUACCGAAUCUUUCAAAACUUAAAUAGUGUACUUAUGAGUAAAUAAGUGAAUUUUGAAAUAAUUUC